RNAcentral lists this ribosomal RNA (298 nucleotides) under uncultured Enterobacteriaceae bacterium. RNAcentral describes it as "partial 16S ribosomal RNA". It matches the Rfam family "Bacterial small subunit ribosomal RNA", at positions 1 to 316 of the family's 1533-position model. The record is from RNAcentral. Lineage: Bacteria; Pseudomonadati; Pseudomonadota; Gammaproteobacteria; Enterobacterales; Enterobacteriaceae.
UCGGCUUAGAGUUUGAUCAUGGCUCUCAUUGAACGCUGGCGGCAGGCUUAACACAUGCAAGUCCAACGGUAAAGUACCUUGCUACUUAGAGUGGCGGACGGGUGAGUAACGUAUGGGAAUUUACCAAAUGGAGGGGGACAACCGUUGGAAACGGCUGCUAAUACCGCAUAACGUCUAGAGACCAAAAGGUUUCGACUUGCCAUUUGAUGAGCCCAUAUGAGAUUAGCUAGUUGGUGUGGUAAUGGCUCACCAAGGCCACGAUCUCUAUCUGGUUUGAGAGGAUGACCAGCCACUCUGG